AAAGUCGUAACAAGGUUUCCGUAGGUGAACCUGCGGAAGGAUCAUUACCAAUUUAAUCCAUUAAAUUUCAACCCAUGUGCACGAUGAUUGUUUGUCCUUUGGGGUGGUUGAAUGUUUGUUGUUGUUUACAAUAUUCAGACAUAAGCUACCCCGCCAUUGUUAACCAAAAUCCUUUUUUGAUUAUGGCAUCUGUCUUAUUUUAAUUAAUAAAUGACAACUUUUAACGGUGGAUCUCUUGGCUCGU
Molecule: unclassified non-coding RNA, 244 nt
Filed under: Basidiomycota sp.
Lineage: Eukaryota; Fungi; Basidiomycota
Description: partial contains small subunit ribosomal RNA, internal transcribed spacer 1, and 5.8S ribosomal RNA
Rfam family: Eukaryotic small subunit ribosomal RNA (bases 1-47)
Source: RNAcentral